AGCGGCGGCCCCGCGGGGAGCCACGUCUGCAGCUGGCGGGCGGCCUGGAGCCCCGCGGCCCGCGCUGGCCCGCCCCUCCCUGACGCGGGCGCCUCGGCCGAAAGGGGCCGCAGGGACGCCAGGGGCCUGCGCGGGGCCGGGGCUCGGAUCCCACGGGCGGGAAAGGAGGACGAGGCGCAGCCGGCACGGGCCGCCGUAGCCCGAGCACGCUGCCCACUCGGGGGGCGGACUGCACGCCGCGCCGGGCCGGGCUCCGAGCGCCGGGGAGCCCGCCCGGCCCACGACUGCGGCGCUGCGGAGGGAGGGCCGGGCCUGCAACGGGCGGGAACCGCAGCGGCCCGACGGACGGCGCAGGCGCAGGCGCGGCGCGGCGCUCCCCGGGGAAGGGAACCGGGCCGCGCACGGGGAGCGCGGGCGGCGGCGGCGGGGGCACCUCGGGGCGGGCGCAAGGAGCCCCCUUCCCGCGACCGCGACGAGCCGGGGACGCGGAGUGACGUCGGGCCGCAGCUCGGGGUCUCCAGUCGCGCUCCGAGGUCAGGCCGGGCCGGCAGGCGGGACUCGGCCGCGCCCCGCCAGAGCCUCGCCCAGGAGGCGCCGAGCGCCCGCCGGUCCCGCGCGCCCUUCUGCGGACGGCGGACGUCCCGGCUCCGCCCGUCGGGGUCAAGCGGGCGGGCGGCCGAGCCCCAGCCCCCGCCCCCACUCCCAGCCGCGAGCCCGCGGCCCAGCGCUGCCCAGAGCCCCGGGGCGGGGCCUCGCGAGACCCAAACAAGCCCCACGUGGCAGGGGCGGGGCCGCCUCGGGGACGUCACGGCGCGCGCGUGCGCGGCAGCGACGGCCGGGCGCCGGCGUACCCUUGCUGGGGGCCGUAAAGCGCGGAAGGUCGCGGUCCCGGGCUUCCCCGGAACUUUUUACUCCCUCCGCCCCGCCCCCUUCGCUGCCUCCUCGGCCCCGGUUCUGGCGCCGGGACCGCUCCCGGCAACUGCUGUGGCUGCUGCCCCGCUGCCGCCGGGGCUUGUGCUGCGGCCCGCGGAGCCCGCCGGGGCCCGUGAGGUGAGGACACGGCGGCGGGGCCGCUCCGGCCUCCGCUCCGCGCGCGUCUCAGCGGCCCCCUUCCGCUCCGGGCUCCCGGGGGGGGGGGUCCCGGCCGCCCCCGGGUCGCGUCGCUUGCGCCAGCUCGCCUCGGCCUCGGGCGUCCGGGCCGACGGGGGUCCGCCCCGUUUCUCCCCUCCGGCCGCGGCGUCCCGGGCCUGGGGAACCCGUGCCCGGCUGCCCCGGGCCUGCGCAGCGGCUCCUCCGGGCGUCCGCGGCGACCUCGCCGGGGUCCCCGGCCUCGGGGUGCGCGGCCCCUCGCGCGGACGAGGCGGGUCUCGCCGGGGCUGGCUCCCCUGCGGGUGCAGUCGCUUCCCCGCCUGGAGACGCGCGCCCCUCCGGUGCUUCCCGGAUCGGCGGACGGCUGCGGAGAGCGGCGGCGGCCGCGUUACCGGGAGAAGCGUAGGCCGGGCAGGGAGCUGUGUUCGCGGCGCGUGA
RNAcentral lists this long non-coding RNA (1527 nucleotides) under Canis lupus familiaris (dog). Its description in RNAcentral is "lncRNA (ENSCAFG00845004893.1)". Lineage: Eukaryota; Metazoa; Chordata; Mammalia; Carnivora; Canidae. The record is from RNAcentral.